RNAcentral lists this ribosomal RNA (913 nucleotides) under uncultured marine archaeon. Its description in RNAcentral is "bacterial SSU rRNA". It matches the Rfam family "Archaeal small subunit ribosomal RNA", at positions 1 to 921 of the family's 1478-position model. The record is from RNAcentral.
UUCCGGUUGAUCCUGCCGGACCUGACUGCUAUCGGAUUGAUACUAAGCCAUGCGAGUCUUUGUAGUAAUACAAGGCAUACGGCUCAGUAACGCGUAGUCAACCUACCCUAUGGACAAGAAUAAUCUCGGGAAACUGAGCAUAAUUCUUGAUAGAUCAUAAUGCCUGGAAUGGUAUAUGGUUAAAAUGAUUCGUCGCCAUAGGAUGGGACUGCGGCCUAUCAGCUUGUUGGUGAGGUAAUGGCCCACCAAGGCGAUAACAGGUACGGGCUCUGAGAGGAGAAGCCCGGAGAUGGGUACUGAGACAAGGACCCAGGCCCUAUGGGGCGCAGCAGGCGAGAAAACUUUGCAAUGUGCGAAAGCACGACAAGGUUAGUCCGAGUGAUUUCUGCUAAAGAGAUCUUUUGCUAGUUAUAAAACCACUAGUGAAUAAGGGGUGGGCAAGUUCUGGUGUCAGCCGCCGCGGUAAAACCAGCACCUCAAGUGGUCAGGAUGAUUAUUGGGCCUAAAGCAUCCGUAGCCGGCUCUGUAAGUUUUCGGUUAAAUCUAUACGCUCAACGUAUGGGCUGCCGAAAAUACUGUAGAGAUAGGGAGUGGGAGAGGUAGACGGUACUCGGUAGGAAGGGGUAAAAUCCUUUGAUCUAUCGAUGACCACCUGUGGCGAAGGCGGUCUACCAGAACACGUUCGACGGUGAGGGAUGAAAGCUGGGGGAGCAAACCGGAUUAGAUACCCGGGUAGUCCCAGCUGUAAACGAUGCAGACUCGAUGAUGCAUUGGCAUAUAGCCAGUGCAGUGUCGCAGGGAAGCCGUUAAGUCUGCCGCCUGGGAAGUACGUACGCAAGUAUGAAACUUAAAGGAAUUGGCGGGGGAGCACCACAAGGGGUGAAGCCUGCGGUUCAAUUGGAGUCAACGCCGG